AAGUGACUGCCGGUGCAAGCCGGAGGUAGGUGGGGAUGACGUCAAAUCAUCAUGCCCCUUAUGUCCUGGGCUACACACGUGCUACAAUGGAUAGUACAAUGGGUCGCGAAGCCGCGAGGUGGAGCUAAUCCCAUAAAUCUAUUCUCAGUUCGGAUUGUUGGCUGCAACUCGCCUACAUGAAGCCGGAAUCGCUAGUAAUCGUGGAUCUGCUUGCCUCGGUGAUUUCGUUCCCGGGCCUUGUA
Molecule: ribosomal RNA, 242 nt
Filed under: Listeria monocytogenes
Lineage: Bacteria; Bacillati; Bacillota; Bacilli; Caryophanales; Listeriaceae
Description: partial 16S ribosomal RNA
Rfam family: Bacterial small subunit ribosomal RNA
Source: RNAcentral